Molecule: ribosomal RNA, 389 nt
Filed under: uncultured bacterium
Lineage: Bacteria
Description: bacterial SSU rRNA
Rfam family: Bacterial small subunit ribosomal RNA
Source: RNAcentral
GACGAACGCUGGCGGCGUGCUUAACACAUGCAAGUCAAGGGGGCUGGGUUGCAAGAUCCAGCAACCGGCGAACGGGUGCGUAACACGUGAGUAACCUGCCUAGGUGUGGGGGAUAGCCGGCCCAACGGCCGGGUAAUACCGCAUACGUUCCUUGGGGGGAGUCCCCUGGGGAGGAAACCUGUAGGGUGUCAUAGCCUUACGGGGCAGCUAGAGGGGCUCGCGGCCUAUCAGCUAGUUGGUGGGGUCAAGGCCCACCAAGGCUCUGACGGGUAGCUGGUCUGAGAGGAUGGCCAGCCACAUUGGGACUGAGAGACGGCCCAGACUCCUACGGGAGGCAGCAGUGGGGAAUCUUGCGCAAUGGGAGCAAUCCUGACGCAGCGACGCCGCGU